Molecule: ribosomal RNA, 492 nt
Filed under: uncultured bacterium
Lineage: Bacteria
Description: partial 16S ribosomal RNA
Rfam family: Bacterial small subunit ribosomal RNA
Source: RNAcentral
AGUGAACGCUGGCGGUAGGCCUAACACAUGCAAGUCGAACGGCAGCACAGUAAGAGCUUGCUCUUACGGGUGGCGAGUGGCGGACGGGUGAGGAAUACAUCGGAAUCUACUUUUUCGUGGGGGAAAACGUAGGGAAACUUACGCUAAUACCGCAUACGACCUACGGGUGAAAGCAGGGGAUCUUCGGACCUUGCGCGAUUGCAUGAGCCGAUGUCGGAUUAGCUAGUUGGCGGGGUAAAGGCCCACCAAGGCGACGAUCCGUAGCUGGUCUGAGAGGAUGAUCAGCCACACUGGAACUGAGACACGGUCCAGACUCCUACGGGAGGCAGCAGUGGGGAAUAUUGGACAAUGGGCGCAAGCCUGAUCCAGCCAUACCGCGUGGGUGAAGAAGGCCUGCGGGUUGUAAAGCCCUUUUGUUGGGAAAGAAAAGCAGCAGGUUAAUACCCCGCUGUUCUGACGGUACCCAAAGAAUAAGCACCGGCUAACUUCGUG